AAAUAGAUACCCAGGUAGUCCACGCCGUAAACGAUGGAGUAGCUAAGUGUUAGAGGGUUUCCGCCCUUUAGUGCUGCAGCUAACGCAUUAAGCACUCCGCCUGGGGAGUACGGUCGCAAGACUGAAACUCAAAGGAAUUGGCGGGGGCCCGCACAAGCGGUGGAGCAUGUGGUUUAAUUCGAAGCAACGCGAAGAACCUUACCAGGUCUUGACAUCCUCUGACAACUCUAGAGAUAGAGCGUUCCCCUUCGGGGGACAGAGUGACAGGUGGUGCAUGGUUGUCGUCAGCUCGUGUCGUGAGAUGUUGGGUUAAGUCCCGCAACGAGCGCAACCCUUGAUCUUAGUUGCCAGCAUUUAGUUGGGCACUCUAAGGUGACUGCCGGUGACAAACCGGAGGAAGGUGGGGAUGACGUCAAAUCAUCAUGCCCCUUAUGACCUGGGCUACACACGUGCUACAAUGGAUGGUACAAAGGGCUGCAAGACCGCGAGGUCAAGCCAAUCCCAUAAAACCAUUCUCAGUUCGGAUUGU
RNAcentral lists this ribosomal RNA (529 nucleotides) under uncultured bacterium. RNAcentral's name for it is "bacterial SSU rRNA". It matches the Rfam family "Bacterial small subunit ribosomal RNA", at positions 776 to 1301 of the family's 1533-position model. The record is from RNAcentral.